RNAcentral lists this long non-coding RNA (718 nucleotides) under Heterocephalus glaber (naked mole-rat). Its description in RNAcentral is "lncRNA (ENSHGLG00000042140.1)". The record is from RNAcentral. Lineage: Eukaryota; Metazoa; Chordata; Mammalia; Rodentia; Bathyergidae.
GGGAGACACCAUGACAAGGACGCCCGGACAACCUGGGGCCAUCACAGACGGACUCACACAGGAACAGCCUGCAACACGGUUUCGGAAAGCACCCUCCUCCAAAGGCAGAGGCACAUUCCUUUGAUUGGCACAAGCUAUUUCUGACAAUGGAUCUGCGAUGACAGGGGCUCUCGGCAAUCAGGAAGUGUGUGUGUGUGUGUGUGUGUGCGUGUUGUGGGGGAGGGAUGUGUUAGAUGUGAUCAAAGACUGGCCUGCUGAAAAGAAGAGAAUAUGGGAUCUUAAAGCCUGGAGGCAGACUUGGAGGAGGAAGAGAAGGACCAAGUCAAUGAGAGACAGAUGAGCCAUGCUCCAGGAUACAGGCUUCCUUUGUUCUCCCAGCAUCCACUUUGCAGCCCAGGCUGACCUUGGACUCUCAGUGAUCCUCCUGCCUCAGCCUCCCAAGUGCUGACUGAGAAGACAGGUGUGCAGUACUGCAAUCAACUCUCAGCCAACCUUAAGAAGCGCUGGGGAGCUGCUACUGUUCUAGCUGCCUUGGGCAGAUUACCUCACAGUGCUGCGAGGGCACCUGUGUUGUCUUCUUGUCACAGAUGAACCUGGAGCCCAGGCACAUUAGGUGUUAGUCCGAGGUCAUGCAGCUGGAAGGUGAGGGGUCAGGCUUCCUGGACCCAGAGCCGUCCUCUCCACCUCCAGGUCAGGGCCAGCGAAGGGUCCAGUCCCC